RNAcentral lists this ribosomal RNA (236 nucleotides) under uncultured bacterium. RNAcentral's name for it is "partial 16S ribosomal RNA". It matches the Rfam family "Bacterial small subunit ribosomal RNA", at positions 102 to 334 of the family's 1533-position model. The record is from RNAcentral.
CCACGGGUGAGUAACACGUAUCCAACCUGCCGUCUACUCUUGGCCAGCCUUCUGAAAGGAAGAUUAAUCCAGGAUGGCAUCAUGAGUUCACAUGUCCGCAUGAUUAAAGGUAUUUUCCGGUAGACGAUGGGGAUGCGUUCCAUUAGAUAGUAGGCGGGAUAACGGCCCACCUAGUCAACGAUGGAUAGGGGUUCUGAGAGGAAGGUCCCCCACAUUGGAACUGAGACACGGUCCAA